RNAcentral lists this ribosomal RNA (253 nucleotides) under uncultured bacterium. Its description in RNAcentral is "partial 16S ribosomal RNA". It matches the Rfam family "Bacterial small subunit ribosomal RNA", at positions 524 to 776 of the family's 1533-position model. The record is from RNAcentral.
UACGAAGGGUGCAAACGUUGCUCGGAAUUAUUGGGCGUAAAGCGCACGUAGGCGGCUUAGCAAGUCGGAAGUGAAAUCCCUCGGCUCAACCAAGGAAGUGCUUUCGAAACUGCUGAGCUUGAGUACUUAAGAGGAUCGCGGAAUUCCCGGUGUAGAGGUGAAAUUCGUAGAUAUCGGGAGGAACACCAGUGGCGGGGGCGGCGAUCUGGGAAGAUACUGACGCUGAGGUGCGAAAGCGUGGGGAGCAAACAGG